CGUCCGUCGGAUUUCCGAUCGGAUCACGCCAGUGCAUUCAGCACGACUGGGGCAUCGAAUCUACAAUUUUGUUUUGUCUGAUUUGGUCGCCAAUUCACGACGAAACUCAUCCUCACUCCAAAAGGCAAAACUACGCACAAAUACAUAAAUUAUAUGUAUCUCCAGUUUCCUCAAAAAUCGUGCAUCAGAUCUAAAAUGCGUCAGCGCCAAUGGUUUCAGAAUAGUCGAACCAUUAAAACGAGCUAUUGGAGUCCUAUGAAUGGAGUCCGAUACGCACCAGAAGUCAUCUCUACUGAUCGGCCUCUCUGGAAAACCGGAGUUACUAUUCACUUUAAGUGAUUAGUAAUGAUCGCGUAACUUCUCCAUUCUAACUCAUUUUUUCCUGAAACUUGACGAGUAUUUAUGUAAUUAAAUUACACACAAAAAUAUCGUUAACAGAAAGUUUAGCUACACUGACAAAUCUCAGUCCUCACACUAAUAAUCCAAAAAAUAAUAGACAAAGGAAAGAUGAAACCCUUUUUAAUGGUAUUUCC
This 533-nucleotide long non-coding RNA is filed under the name Ananas comosus (pineapple). RNAcentral describes it as "long non-coding RNA (ACOM_LNC039290)". Lineage: Eukaryota; Viridiplantae; Streptophyta; Magnoliopsida; Poales; Bromeliaceae. The record is from RNAcentral.